This 406-nucleotide ribosomal RNA is filed under the name uncultured bacterium. RNAcentral describes it as "partial 16S ribosomal RNA". It matches the Rfam family "Bacterial small subunit ribosomal RNA", at positions 30 to 526 of the family's 1533-position model. The record is from RNAcentral.
AUUGAACGCUGGCGGCAGGCCUAACACAUGCAAGUCCGGCGAGCGGCGGACUGGUGAGUAAUGUAUGGGGACCUGCCUGAUGGAGGGGGAUAACUACUGGACCCGGUAGCGAAUACCGCAUACCAUCAGAUGUAUCUAUACGGGAUUAGCUAGUAGGUUAGGUAACGGCUCACCUAUGCGACGAUCCCUAGCUGGUCUGAGAGGAUGAUCGGCCACACUGGGACUGAGACACGGCCCAGACUCCUACGGGAGGCAGCAGUGGGGCAUAUUGCACAAUGGGCGCAAGCCUGAUGCAGCCAUGCCGCGUGUAUGAAGAAGGCCUUCGGGUUGUAAAGUACUUUCAGUCGGGAGGCGUUACCGACAGAAGAAGCACCGGCUAACUCCGUGCCAGCAGCCGCGGUAAUAC